CAAUGGAUUAACAAAAAUAAGGAUGUGAACCUAAUUUUCCCAUUAGAUAAUUUAGUAAAAAGAAAACUCAUGAAAAUGAUUUGAAAACUUUGAGUUUUAAUCAAAAUGACAAAAAAAUGUUGUAAGUAAAUAGUACCAGGAGUGACUUUUUAGAGUAAAAAUGUUAUUUUCGUUAAAAUGAACAGUAUUGAAAAUGUUUCGUUAAAACUUCCCAUUGGAAAAAGGCUUUGUUUUAUGGAGGUG
Molecule: long non-coding RNA, 243 nt
Filed under: Malus domestica (apple)
Lineage: Eukaryota; Viridiplantae; Streptophyta; Magnoliopsida; Rosales; Rosaceae
Description: long non-coding RNA (MDOM_LNC003272)
Source: RNAcentral